RNAcentral lists this long non-coding RNA (275 nucleotides) under Fukomys damarensis (Damara mole-rat). RNAcentral's name for it is "lncRNA (ENSFDAG00000029828.1)". The record is from RNAcentral. Lineage: Eukaryota; Metazoa; Chordata; Mammalia; Rodentia; Bathyergidae.
GCGGUACACACAGGCCUUACCGGGCUUCUUGGGCUACUGAAUGCAGCUGUGAUUUCUUUCUCUGUCUUAAAUACAGCUUUAAAAACAAGAAACAAGCGUCCCAGUAUAUUCCUGGCUGUGGUGUUUUUGUAUCCACUGUUAGUUUCCCAAGGGACUUCAUGACUGCCCUGCAGCUGACGGUUUCUUGAGAAUUGACACGCGUCGCGGUCCUGCGUGGGGCAUCUGCAUGGUCUUCGGCACCGCUGCUUUCUUCCAGCGCCUUCCCAGCUCCCCUU